This is a microRNA precursor of Ictidomys tridecemlineatus (thirteen-lined ground squirrel), 79 nucleotides long. Lineage: Eukaryota; Metazoa; Chordata; Mammalia; Rodentia; Sciuridae. The record is from Ensembl.
AUUCACGGUGCCUUGGAUGGAGGAUGAGAGGGGAACUGCAAGCUCCUUCAACUCGUUCUGUCCGGUGAGAAGUGAUCAA